RNAcentral lists this ribosomal RNA (374 nucleotides) under uncultured organism. RNAcentral describes it as "partial 16S ribosomal RNA". It matches the Rfam family "Bacterial small subunit ribosomal RNA", at positions 527 to 896 of the family's 1533-position model. The record is from RNAcentral.
GAACUGCACAAACGUUAUUCGGAAUCACUGGGGCUUAAAGAGUCCGUAGGCGGCCUGGAAGGUGAGGGUGUGAAAUCCCACAGCCCAACUGUGGGAACUGCGCUUCAAACCGUCAGGCUUGAGGGAGACAGGGGUGAGCGGAACAGAUGGUGGAGCGGUGAAAUGCGUUGAUAUCAUCUGGAACACCGGUGGCGAAGGCGGCUCACUGGGUCUCUUCUGACGCUGAGGGACGAAAGCUAGGGGAGCGAACGGGAUUAGAUACCCCGGUAGUCCUAGCUGUAAACGAUGAGCACUAGAUCGAGGGGACUCCCACAUCCUCUCGGUCGUAGCAAAAGCGUUAAGUGCUCCGCCUGGGGAGUAUGGUCGCAAGGCUG